CAUCGCCUUUUGAAUUAAUAAAAGGUCUAACCUGCCCACUGAGGUAUUAAAGGGCCGCGGUAUUUUGACCGUGCAAAGGUAGCAUAAUCAUUAGUCUUUUAAUUAAAGGCUGGAAUGAAGGGUUGAACGAGGUACAAGCUGUCUCAUAAAAAUAAAUAUAAUUUAACUUUUUAGUGAAAAGGCUAAAAUAUUAUUGUAGGACGAGAAGACCCUAUAGAGUUUAAUAAUUAUUUUAAAUAAAAGUAUAGUAAGAGGUUUAAUUAUUUAAAUAAAUUAUUUUGUUGGGGUGACAAGAAAAUAAUUUAACUUUUCUUAAUUAGAUUCAUAAAUUUAUGUAUUUAUGAUCCAUUAUUAAUGAUUAUAAGAUUAAGUUACCUUAGGGAUAACAGCGUAAUCUUUUUUGAGAGUUCUAAUCGACAAAAGGGAUUGCGACCUCGAUGUUGGACUAAGGGAAAUUUUGGGUGUAGAUGUUCAAAUUUUAGGUCUGUUCGACCUUUAAAACCUUACAU
RNAcentral lists this ribosomal RNA (509 nucleotides) under Potamanthus luteus. RNAcentral describes it as "partial 16S ribosomal RNA". It matches the Rfam family "Bacterial large subunit ribosomal RNA", at positions 1816 to 2601 of the family's 2925-position model. Lineage: Eukaryota; Metazoa; Arthropoda; Insecta; Ephemeroptera; Potamanthidae. The record is from RNAcentral.